GUUCACCCUACACUUCGCGCACAGAGUGAAAGAAGAAAAGCGCCUCCGCUUUGGCUCAACACAGCAGAAAACCCUGCUCUUCGCGCAUAGAGUGAAGAGACCAGAUACGCCUCCGCUUUGGUUCUGAACACGGAAAACUCUGCUCUUUGCGCACAGAGAGGAGCUACUCCUCCGCCCAAGUCGUUACUUCGUCGGCUUUCUUCACCAAAAUUUCAGUUAGAUACCUAAGUUGGUGUUUGAACUUCUGCUUCGCGUGAAGAAUGGGGAUUUUCGAACCCUUUCGUGGUAUUGGAUAUAUUACAAGCAGUGUUCCCUUCACCGUGCAGAGAUUGGGAACUGAAACUUUCGUCACUGUUAGCGUUGGAAAAGCUUGGCAGGUUUACAAUUGUGCCAAGCUGUCGUUGGUGCUCGUUGGCCCUCAAUUGCCAAAGAAGAUCCGAGCUCUUGCAUCCUAUCGGGACUACACAUUUGCCGCAUAUGGGAAUAACAUUGGCGUUUUCAAACGUGCUCACCAGGUAGCAACAUGGACCAGGCAUAACGAUAAGGUCAAUUGGUUGCUCUUGUUUGGAGAACAUGUACUAAGUCUUGAUGCUAAGGGUAAUCUAUUCAUAUGGCCUUUUAAAGGGCUCGAUGAAAAUCUUGCUCCAAUUGGACAUAUUGUCCUAGAAGACAAAUUCAUCCCUAGCUGCAUAAUGCAUCCUGACACUUACUUAAACAAGGUUAUAAUUGGGAGUCAGGAAGGUUCACUGCAGCUUUGGAAUAUUAGCACAAAGAAGAAACUUUAUGAGUUCAAAGGCUGGAAUUCAUCUAUAUUUUGCUGUGUUUCCUCACCUGCACUAGAUGUAGUUGCUGUUGGCUGUGCUGAUGGGAAAAUUCAUGUUCAUAAUCUUCGGUAUGACGAAGAAGUAGUUACAUUUAGCCAUUCUGCACGAGGUGCCGUGACUGCCUUGUCUUUUAGGACUGAUGGACAGCCUCUUUUAGCAUCUGGAGAUUCAUCGGGUGUCAUAAGCAUAUGGGAUCUUGAGAAGAGAAAGCUCCAAUCAGUCAUACGAGAGGCCCAUGACAAUUCAAUAAUGUCGCUACACUUUUUCACUAAUGAGCCUGUGCUUAUGAGUUCUUCUGCUGAUAACUCUAUCAAGAUGUGGAUAUUUGACACGAGUGAUGGGGAUCCUCGCCUUUUACGCUUCCGAAGUGGCCAUAGUUCUCCUCCACUUUGCAUUAGGUUUUAUGCUAAUGGAAGACACAUUUUAUCAGCUGGUCAGGAUCGUGCCUUUCGUCUUUUCUCUGUUAUUCAGGAUCAACAAAGUAGAGAGCUUUCUCAGCGUCAUAUCUCUAAGAGGGCGAGGAAACUUAGGAUGAAGGUGGAAGAAAUAAAAUUGAAGCCUGCUAUUGCAUUUGAUUGUGCUGAGAUCCGUGAACGUGAUUGGUGCAAUGUUGUAACUUGCCAUAUGGAUACUCCACGGGCAUAUGUGUGGAGGCUUCAGAACUUUGUCCUUGGUGAGCACAUCCUGACGCCAAGCUUGGACAGUCAAACACCCAUUAAGACUUGUGCAAUCAGUGCUUGUGGUAAUUUUGCCGUUCUGGGGACAGAAGGUGGAUGGGUAGAGAGAUUUAAUCUCCAGUCAGGAAUCAGCCGAGGGAGCUACAUAGACAUUUAUGAAAGCAGAAGCUGUGCCCAUGACAGUGAAGUGGUUGGAGUUGCUUGUGAUGCUACAAAUACCCUCAUGAUAAGUGCUGGAUAUCAUGGAGAUGUAAAGAUCUGGGAUUUCAAGGGGCGUGAAUUGAAAUCCAGAUUGGAAGUCAGUUCUUCUGUGGUCAAGUUAGUUUAUCACCGAUCCAAUGGGCUUUUGGCAACUGUGGCUGAUGAUAUGGUUAUCCGUGUGUUUGACAUUGUUGCCUUACGAAUUGUUCGUAAAUUUGAAGGCCAUACAGAUCGAAUUACUGACUUGUGUUUCAGUGAGGAUGGGAAAUGGCUUUUGUCAUCCAGUAUGGAUGGAAGUCUUAGAAUUUGGGAUGUUAUCCUUGCAAGACAGAUUGAUGCAAUACAAGUGGAUGUGGCUAUCACGGCACUGUCCCUGUCACCAAAUAUGGAUGUUUUGGCAACUUCUCAUGUUGAUCAAAAUGGUGUCUUUCUGUGGGUUAACCAGGCCAUGUUCUCUGGAGCUUCUUAUGUGGAUUCAUAUGCAAGUGGGAAAGAAGUUGUCAGUGUCAAGUGGCCAGCCAUCUCUUCGAAGGAAAUUGCUGAUGAGGAGAAUCAUGGGAACCAUAUUGGGUGUAAAUUACAUGUUAAGGACACUGCUUAUGCCUCACAUUUCAAUCAACAGAUCCCUGAUCUAGUAACUCUCUCAUUGUUGCCAAAAAGCCAGUGGCAAAGCUUGAUCAAUUUGGACAUUAUAAAGGUCCGCAACAAACCAAUUGAGCCACCCAAAAAGCCAGAAAAGGCUCCAUUUUUCUUGCCAUCAGUCCCAUCUUUUUCUGGAGACAUAUUGUUCAAACCUACUGGCAUAGCUGUUGAAGAAAAGGAGAAAAAAGAUGAUGAGAUGGAAAGCAGUAAAAGGAUACCUGAUCAACAGACCUCCCGAUUUCUGCAAUUACUUCUUUCCUCUGCAGAAAUGAAAAAUUUUUCAGCAUUUACAGACUACAUCAAAGGUUUAUCUCCAUCAACAUUAGAUUUGGAGCUCCGGAUGCUUCAGAUCAUAGAUGACGAAGAUCAGCAAGAGCCUGAAAAGAGAUCUGAAUUAUAUUCCAUUGAGCUGCUACUUGAUUACUUCAUACAUGAGAUUUCGUGCAGAAAAGACUAUGAAUUCAUUCAAGCAGUAAUUAGAUUGUUUCUUAAGAUACACGGCGAAACAGUUAGGCGCCAGUCUAAACUUCAUGACAAGGCAAAGAAACUUUUAGAAGUUCAUAGUUCAGUAUGGCAGACACUGGAUAAAAUGUUUCAAAAUGCAAGUUGCAUGCUUACAUUUCUCAGCAGUUCACAGCUCUAAGUGGGGAAGAGAAAAGCAUGGGGAAGUAGAUGCCAUUGCAGAUGACAGUGUUACUUCAUCAUAGCUUCUUUGUUGCACAAAUUCUGAACAAAGUUAGGCGGCUUCUUUGUUGUACAAAAAGAGCACUUAUUUUUCAGCUUCAGGCAGCAAUUUUGAGACAGAGGACCUUGAUUUUUGCAGUUUUUAUGAAGAUCAGUUAUUCACUAGGGACGUUGGUAUGCCUUGGUAUUUUUUGUAAAUUCUAAGCUAAGAGGUUAAAAAUUGAAAUUUGUUUGAAAUAGUAGUGCAGCCGACCCCAUUUAGUUGUGAUAAGGUUAUGAUUAUUGUUAUUGUUGUUGUAGUAGUAGUGCAGUUUACUUCAUCAGCA
RNA transcript from Macadamia integrifolia, 3354 nucleotides. It is a transcript of the gene named U3 small nucleolar RNA-associated protein 21 homolog, with no coding region annotated. Lineage: Eukaryota; Viridiplantae; Streptophyta; Magnoliopsida; Proteales; Proteaceae. The transcript has 23 exons. The record is from RefSeq and is a predicted model, not a curated record.